Molecule: ribosomal RNA, 285 nt
Filed under: Triticum aestivum (bread wheat)
Lineage: Eukaryota; Viridiplantae; Streptophyta; Magnoliopsida; Poales; Poaceae
Description: partial small subunit ribosomal RNA
Source: RNAcentral
AUGGCUGCCAAGGACAAGCUUCUUUGCGAGUGUUGGCGAGACAUUGGACAAGACCCUAAGACGGGCGCCGAACAAAAGCAUUCAACCUUUUGGAUUCGUGUCCACCGAGAGUUUCAUGAGCGCAAGAAGUUUCUGUCUUACCAAAUUGUGAGCACGCGCGGGUGGGUGUCCAUUUCCAAGCGAUGGAGGGUGAUCCAACAAGAGUGCAACAAGUUUUGUGCCACUCUUGAGAGCAUCAAGGCCCGCCCCGUGAGCGGCAUCAGCAUGCAAGACAUGGUAUGUUAG